Molecule: non-coding RNA, 24 nt
Filed under: Arabidopsis thaliana (thale cress)
Lineage: Eukaryota; Viridiplantae; Streptophyta; Magnoliopsida; Brassicales; Brassicaceae
Source: RNAcentral
CACAUGUCACUAAAAUAGAGCGCC